UAACUUCCAUAUUCAACUAGAAAGGAGGCAUUGACUUGACAUAUCUUUUCAAUUUUCAACCACUCGUGAAAAACCCCAUUUCAAAUCAACACUUUGCUUUUUCUUCUUCACAGCAGAUGGAGGCACCUCAAGUAGAAGCCAUGAGUACUGAGACCAGAAACAACAACCCUCCUCAAGACGAUGAACAAGACAAUAUCAUCGAUACCUGUUGUUCAUGCAUCUACGAGUGCACCGAGACCGUCUUAGAUUAUUUGUUCUGUGGCCUCUGUUAGAUUUUAUUAUUAUCACUUCUCCAGGAGCUUCUUGUUACAUUCAUCCUUUUUUUUUAAUAUUAUUUCUAUGCUACUUUUUUUAUUAUUUAGCACUUAUUUGUUAAUAGCAGAUGCAACACAUCAAUCAGUCAUAUCGUGUGUAGAAUUGUCUGAAUCGAAAUGAGAUGCUUUUUUUUUUC
This is a long non-coding RNA of Helianthus annuus (common sunflower), 451 nucleotides long. RefSeq lists it as uncharacterized. Lineage: Eukaryota; Viridiplantae; Streptophyta; Magnoliopsida; Asterales; Asteraceae. The transcript is spliced from 2 exons. The record is from RefSeq and is a predicted model, not a curated record.